GUAGGGUGCUGUGGCACACACCUGUAGUCUCCAUUACUCUGGAGGCUGAGACAGGAACAUCACUUGAGCCCAGGAGUUCAAAGUCAACCUGGGCAACAUAGCAAGCCGCUGUCUCAG
RNAcentral lists this small RNA (117 nucleotides) under Marmota monax (woodchuck). Lineage: Eukaryota; Metazoa; Chordata; Mammalia; Rodentia; Sciuridae. The record is from RNAcentral.